RNAcentral lists this ribosomal RNA (478 nucleotides) under uncultured bacterium. RNAcentral's name for it is "partial 16S ribosomal RNA". It matches the Rfam family "Bacterial small subunit ribosomal RNA", at positions 28 to 523 of the family's 1533-position model. The record is from RNAcentral.
GACGAACGCUGGCGGCGUGCUUAACACAUGCAAGUCGAACGGUAAGGCCCUUCGGGGUACACGAGUGGCGAACGGGUGAGUAACACGUGGGUGAUCUGCCCUGCACUUCGGGAUAAGCCUGGGAAACUGGGUCUAAUACCGGAUAGGACUCCGGACUGCAUGGUCUGGGGUGGAAAGCUUUUGCGGUGUGGGAUGGGCCCGCGGCCUAUCCGCUUGUUGGUGGGGUGAUGGCCUACCAAGGCGACGACGGGUAGCCGGCCUGGGAGGGUGACCGGCCACAGUGGGACUGAGAUACGGCCCAGACUCCUACGGGAGGCAGCAGUGGGGAAUAUUGCACAAUGGGCGCAAGCCUGAUGCAGCGACGCCGCGUGAGGGAUGACGGCCUUCGGGUUGUAAACCUCUUUCAGCAUCGACGAAGCGAAAGUGACGGUAGGUGCAGAAGAAGGACCGGCCAACUACGUGCCAGCCGCCGCGGUAA